GAGGGUAAGGCUCAAAAAAUGAGGAUUGAGCACUCAUAAAGAGAGAAGAAAGAGAGGAAGAAGUAUGGGUGGGGAUGGCCUCUCAUAAGGCGAGAUCAAAAAAGGGGGGGGGGCCUCACACAAAAAGAGAGAGAGAGGGAGAAGGUAGAGAGGGUUAUUUCAUUGGCAGAUAGAGAAGAGAAAGAGAGGGAGAAAGAGAAGAAGGGAACCCUAGAUCUACUCGGCCAAGGCAUUGAAGGGAGGAGGGUAGAAAAGAGGAAAAGAAGGGGGAAGAUAGGGAGAAAGAGGAAAGGGGAGAUAGAGAUAGAGACAAAUAAAUAGAUAGAGAGAAAGCAAGACAGGUGAAGGGGAUGCUGGAUCUAUCAAUUGGGUAG
RNAcentral lists this long non-coding RNA (374 nucleotides) under Elaeis guineensis (African oil palm). Its description in RNAcentral is "long non-coding RNA (EGUI_LNC012393)". The record is from RNAcentral. Lineage: Eukaryota; Viridiplantae; Streptophyta; Magnoliopsida; Arecales; Arecaceae.